RNAcentral lists this ribosomal RNA (431 nucleotides) under uncultured bacterium. RNAcentral describes it as "bacterial SSU rRNA". It matches the Rfam family "Bacterial small subunit ribosomal RNA", at positions 29 to 506 of the family's 1533-position model. The record is from RNAcentral.
GCGAACGCUGGCGGCAGGCCUAACACAUGCAAGUCGAACGAACUCUUCGGAGUUAGUGGCGGACGGGUGAGUAACACGUGGGAACGUGCCUUUAGGUUCGGAAUAACUCAGGGAAACUUGUGCUAAUACCGAAUGUGCCCUUCGGGGGAAAGAUUUAUCGCCUUUAGAGCGGCCCGCGUCUGAUUAGCUUGUUGGUGGGGUAAUGGCCCACCAAGGCUACGAUCAGUAGCUGGUCUGAGAGGAUGACCAGCCACAUUGGGACUGAGACACGGCCCAGACUCCUACGGGAGGCAGCAGUGGGGAAUAUUGGACAAUGGGCGAAAGCCUGAUCCAGCAAUGCCGCGUGAGUGAUGAAGGCCUUAGGGUUGUAAAGCUCUUUUACCAGGGAUGAUAAUGACAGUACCUGGAGAAUAAGCUCCGGCUAACUCCGU